This 654-nucleotide long non-coding RNA is filed under the name Pandoravirus neocaledonia. Its description in RNAcentral is "hypothetical ncRNA". The record is from RNAcentral.
CGGGCCACAUGGCCUUUGCAGCGGCGGCGCCGGCGUCUCUUGAUGUACUCGCGCCGCGCGGGUCGACGAGCGGCGCGAGCCACGAUGACGUGUUGCCGCUCGAUCGCGACGCAGCGUCGAUCCAUCCGAGAAAGGGUCCAUAGACCGCCGCGAUCUGCCCGAUGGGCGCCGCCGGCUCGUCGACACGGCUGAGAAACGCGCCCUGGGAGAGGAACCGUAUGAGCGAGCGCGCCCGCGCGUCCGCCAGAGGUCGACCGCGUGCCUCGUCGUCGCUUGCCUGCUGCAAAAGGCCCAACAGCCUGCUCGGUGAGCCGAGGCCCUCGGCAGAGGCCCACGCGCGGACGUUCGACCACGCCUGCGGCAUGAUCGCACUUGCCACUUGCACGGCCGCCAUUUGUUCUCCUCUCCUCUCUUUUUUUUGCUCUGUCACUUUGCGUUGUUCACCCUAUGCGGUCCGACGGACAAUCGUCUUGGCCUUUUUGUUGGCGGCGCGCUUAGGCGGGGAAAAAAUACCGAUCUAGCGCCUUUUUCUUUUCCCGAUUAAAAAACACACAGUCAGCAAAAGAAGAGAGAAGGAGACAAAAACGUGCCAGCUUGCGCCUAUGGCUUUUUUGUCGAUUCCUUUUUCCGUUGUCCUGUGGCGGCGCCUGUUAG